AAGGAGUCCAACACACACGCGAGUGUUUGGGUGGCAAACCCGAGCGCGAAAUGAAAGUGAAUGUAGGUGGGAUCCCGCAAGGGUGCACCAUCGACCGGUCUGGAACUUUUGUGAAAGAUCUGAGUAAUAGCGUGUUUGCUGGGACCCGAAAGAUGGUGAACUAUGCCUGAAUAGGGUGAAGCCAGAGGAAACUCUGGUGGAGGCUCGUAGCGGUUCUGACGUGCAAAUCGAUCGUCAAAUUUGGGUAUAGGGGCGAAAGACUAAUCGAACCAUCUAGUAGCUGGUUCCCUC
RNAcentral lists this unclassified non-coding RNA (291 nucleotides) under uncultured fungus. RNAcentral describes it as "partial contains 5.8S rRNA, ITS2 and 28S rRNA". It matches the Rfam family "Eukaryotic large subunit ribosomal RNA", at positions 668 to 961 of the family's 3401-position model. Lineage: Eukaryota; Fungi. The record is from RNAcentral.